GAUGAACGCUGGCGGCGUGCCUAAUACAUGCAAGUCGAGCGAACAGACGAGGAGCUUGCUCCCCUGAUGUUAGCGGCGGACGGGUGAGUAACACGUGGAUAACCUACCUAUAAUACUGGGAUAACUUCGGGAAACCGGAGCUAAUACCGGAUAACAUGUUGAACGGCAUGGUUCAACAGUGAAUGACGGUCUUGCUGUCACUUAUAGAUGGAUCCGCGCCGCAUUAGCUAGUUGGUAAGGUAACGGCUUACCAAGGCAACGAUGCGUAGCCGACCUGAGAGGAGGGAUCGCCCACACUGAACCUGGAAACGGGUCCAGCCUCCUACGGGAGGCGGAGGGGGGAAAUUUGCCCCAAGGGGCGAAAGCCUGACGGAGCAACGCGGGGGGGGGGAAGAAGGUCUCCGGUUCGUAAAACUCUGUGAUGAGGAAGAAAAAAAUGUGGAAGUAACUAUGCACGUCUGGACGGUACCAAAUCAGAAGGCCACGGCUAACUACGG
RNAcentral lists this ribosomal RNA (497 nucleotides) under uncultured bacterium. Its description in RNAcentral is "partial 16S ribosomal RNA". It matches the Rfam family "Bacterial small subunit ribosomal RNA", at positions 28 to 506 of the family's 1533-position model. The record is from RNAcentral.